GAUGAACGCUGGCGGUAUGCUUAACACAUGCAAGUCGAACGGUCACUUCGGUGAUAGUGGCGGACGGGUGAGUAACGCGUGAGAAUCUGUCUUCAGGUCGGGGACAACAGUUAGAAAUGACUGCUAAUACCGGAUGUGCCUUUGGGUGAAAGAUUUAUUGCCUGAAAAAGAGCUCGCGUCAGAUUAGCUAGUAGGUGGUGUAAGAGACUACCUAGGCUCCGAUCUGUAGCUGGUCUGAGAGGACGAUCAGCCACACUGGAACUGAGACACGGUCCAGACUCCUACGGGAGGCAGCAGUGGGGAAUGUUCCGCAAUGGGCGAAAGCCUGACGGAGCAAUACCGCGUGAGGGACGAAGGCUUUUGGGUCGUAAACCUCUUUUCUCAAGGAAGAUGAUGACGGUACUUGAGGAAUAAGCACCGGCUAACUCUGUG
RNAcentral lists this ribosomal RNA (432 nucleotides) under uncultured bacterium. Its description in RNAcentral is "partial 16S ribosomal RNA". It matches the Rfam family "Bacterial small subunit ribosomal RNA", at positions 28 to 507 of the family's 1533-position model. The record is from RNAcentral.